GCACUAAAAGUGUGACUUAAGAAAGUCAUUUGAUUUUCCUGGGUUCACUUCUCCACCUGAGAAAAGAAGGGACUUUGCUAGCAUUAUUCACAAUAGUCAACACAUGGAUGCAACCCAAGUGCCCAUCAACAGAUGAAUGGAUAAAGAUGAUGUGCUUUGAAUUGCUCAUAAGGACAUCACCUUACCUGCAUCUUCAAGCCUGCUCCAAAUCCACCCCCAGAAUGUCUUGUGUCUCAUUAUUUGUCAGAGACAUAGGAAGGGAGUUGCAAUAGUGGAGGAAGAAAUCAAAUAAGUUCUCAGAAACAAAUCUACUCUUGUUAUUUUAUUCUAGCCUUUUAACUGAAAAGCCUCACCACCACACUCAGAGCCAGUGCUAACUGUUUGAUUAUGCUGUGGGAAUCCACUCUGAGUGUCAGCAUGAGGCGUUAGUCCACGAUGGGCUGAGACUUCAGUGCAAAGUUGGAACAGAAGGCCCCUGCUGAUGACUCCAUUUUGCAAUUUAUCACACAAACGUCAGGGGAGCAAUAUUUGUGCCUCUAGUUUCACAGUCUUUUUCAAGACAGAAUUCAGUUCACUUUUGCCCAUCCCCUCUUCCCACAGGGCAUUAAGACUAUUGCACUAACAAGUGGAAAAGCAUAUCCUGUGCCAUCUCCUCC
RNAcentral lists this long non-coding RNA (656 nucleotides) under Equus caballus (horse). RNAcentral describes it as "lncRNA (ENSECAG00000047045.1)". Lineage: Eukaryota; Metazoa; Chordata; Mammalia; Perissodactyla; Equidae. The record is from RNAcentral.